AGGGAUGUGGCUCAGUGGUUGAGGGCCCCUGAGUUCAAUUCCUGGUAUCAAAAAUAAAUAAAUAAAUAAAUAGGGACAAGGGAUGUAGCUCAGUGGCAAAGUAUUCCUGGGUUCGACCCCCAGUACCCCCA
RNAcentral lists this transfer RNA (131 nucleotides) under Marmota monax (woodchuck). RNAcentral's name for it is "tRNA.SeC". Lineage: Eukaryota; Metazoa; Chordata; Mammalia; Rodentia; Sciuridae. The record is from RNAcentral.